This 255-nucleotide ribosomal RNA is filed under the name uncultured bacterium. Its description in RNAcentral is "partial 16S ribosomal RNA". It matches the Rfam family "Bacterial small subunit ribosomal RNA", at positions 524 to 776 of the family's 1533-position model. The record is from RNAcentral.
UACGAAGGGUGCAAGCGUUACUCGGAAUUACUGGGCGUAAAGCGUGCGUAGGUGGUUUGUUAAGUCUGAUGUGAAAGCCCUGGGCUCAACCUGGGAAUUGCAUUGGAUACUGGCAGGCUAGAGUGCGGUAGAGGAUGGCGGAAUUCCCGGUGUAGCAGUGAAAUGCGUAGAGAUCCGGAAGAACACCGGUGGCGAAGGCGGCCUGCUGGGCAGUUUUGCUGACACUGAGGCGCGACAGCGUGGGGAGCAAACAGG